Molecule: non-coding RNA, 155 nt
Organism: Peromyscus maniculatus bairdii (prairie deer mouse)
Lineage: Eukaryota; Metazoa; Chordata; Mammalia; Rodentia; Cricetidae
Source: RefSeq, a predicted model, not a curated record
UGUCUAUUUCUAAUUUUAUGUAUUCCAUUCAUUUAACAAUGUAAUGUAAUUUGCUAAUCUUUUAAUGUUAUUAUUACCAACUAUUAAGAUGUAAAGAAAUGAAAGCUAGUACUUAUACAUUAUAAAGGAACUUGUAGUCAUAUUAGAUAUGUUUU